AUGCUUGUAGAUCAUGAAAAGAAUGCUUUAGGUGCUGGUUAUAUUGUUGAAUUCAUUCAUGAUGCUACUGAAAAUUAUUAUGAGGGAGUAAUAUAUGCUUGUAGGAAUUGCAAUAAUAUCAAAUUUCCUCUCUAUGUGCUUAAAAUCUUGAAGUUAUGCUUGUUUUGCCUUCCUAUGCUAGUUGAUUAUUGUUCCCAUAAGUUGUUUGCUCACAAAAUCCCUAUGCAUAGGAAGUGGGUUAGACUUAAAUGUGCUAGUCAUAUUCUUCAUGAUGCUCUCUUUAUGUUACAAUUCUUAUCUUAUAUGUGA
This 309-nucleotide ribosomal RNA is filed under the name Triticum aestivum (bread wheat). RNAcentral describes it as "partial small subunit ribosomal RNA". The record is from RNAcentral. Lineage: Eukaryota; Viridiplantae; Streptophyta; Magnoliopsida; Poales; Poaceae.